CGAACGAGCUUAAAGAGCUUGCUUUUUAAGCUUAGUGGCGAACGGGUGAGUAACGCGUGAGUACCUGCCCUAGAGUGGGGGACAACAGUUGGAAACGACUGCUAAUACCGCAUAAGACCGCAUGGUAAAAGAUUUAUCGCUUUAGGAUGGACUCGCGUCCAAUUAGCUAGUUGGUGGGGUAACGGCCCAUCAAGGCACGAUUGGUAGCCGGACUGAGAGGUUGAACGGCCACAUUGGGACUGAGACACGGCCCAGACUCCUACGGGAGGCAGCAGUGGGGGAUAUUGCACAAUGGGGGAAACCCUGAUGCAGCGACGCCGCGUGGAGGAAGAAGGUUUUCGGAUUGUAAACUCCUGUCGUUAGGGACGAUAAGACGGUACCUAACAAGAAAGCACCGGCUAACUACGUGCCAGCAGCCGCGGUAAAACGUAGGGUGCAAGCGUUGUCCGGAAUUACUGGGUGUAAAGGGAGCGCAGGCGGGAAGCAAGUUGGAAGUGAAAACCAUGGGCUCAACCCAUGAAUUGCUUUCAAAACUGUUUUUCUUGAGUAAUGCAGAGGUAGAUGGAAUUCCCGGUGUAGCGGUGGAAUGCGUAGAUAUCGGGAGGAAC
Molecule: ribosomal RNA, 608 nt
Filed under: uncultured bacterium
Lineage: Bacteria
Description: bacterial SSU rRNA
Rfam family: Bacterial small subunit ribosomal RNA
Source: RNAcentral